This is a long non-coding RNA of Homo sapiens (human), 1093 nucleotides long. Ensembl annotates it as EIF3J divergent transcript. Its record names the gene EIF3J-DT. The record is from Ensembl. Lineage: Eukaryota; Metazoa; Chordata; Mammalia; Primates; Hominidae.
CGCCGUGCUCAGAAGAGGGCUCUGAGGCCACGCCCGCCUGUGGGGUCGGUGGCCGGGCUUCCGGGACCCCAGAGGGAGUCGUCGCGCGCUAGGUGGAGGGGACCCCUCUGGAAUCCGGCGAUCCCCGGGCGCAGAUGCAGGAGCGGGUGGGGAGAGCCGCGUUCCUGGCAUGUUUGCCUCGAGUUAGUCACGAAGGAAUCGAAGAGAGCCUUAGUCUUCGAGGCUUUUCCCUUCCUGUGAGCCCCUUUGAGGCCAGCACAUUGAUUUUUUUUUCUUUCGCAGAACAAUUUCGGACCUCCUGGGGUCUAUGCUAGGUAUGAGGUGUAUCUUUGCCCUCCAUCAAGUAGCAAAGAUGGACAUGUAAACAAAUUUCGACACUGUGAUGACUGCCACAAAAAGCAGCAUUAUGAGGUUGAAUGUAAAAGGAUAACCUUAGCGGCGGCGGGGGCCGGAGGAUGAAGGAAGGCUUCCUGAGGUAGGCGCUGGUUGAAACUGAAGUUGGAGAGAGCAAGUGGCAUUUGCUGAAGUGCAUUUCCGGUAGAAAACUCCAGUGGUCCCUCACCUGACUGAGUGGCGCAGUCAGAGAUAAAUGGAACAGAGUCUACAAAUAAACAUUUUAUAAAGAUGAUCCUUCAAUACAUAUUCUACAGCCCAGUUAAAAUGUGAGAGGCCAUGAUCUACAGACAGCCAUUUAUAAAGGUGGAUCAGGGCCGGACACGGUGGCUCAACGUCUGUAAUCCCGGCACUGUGGGAGGCCAAAGCGGGAGGAUCGCUUGAGCCCAGGAGUUCGAGACCAACCUGGCCAACAUGCUUUAUGUGAUUGACACAGACAUGGAAGAGAUCUGGUCCUUAUGAAGAAUUCUGUGCUCGCAGGAAAGAUCUGUAGGAAUAAUGAAAUGCUUUCUUCAUUGAUGAGAUGAAGUCUCUGUUUUUCAGGCAAGUUGACAGAACAAAACAAUGAGAAACGAACUUCUUUAGAAGGUUGAAUGAAAGUAAGAUCUAGAUGAAAAAGUCAUUGGCCAAAGAUAAUUUUUUAAAAAAAACAUUCUAUGUUAACCCUUGGAAAAAAAAACAAAAAACAACCCAGAGAAAU